Molecule: non-coding RNA, 1028 nt
Organism: Podarcis lilfordi (Lilford's wall lizard)
Lineage: Eukaryota; Metazoa; Chordata; Lepidosauria; Squamata; Lacertidae
Source: the annotation of a GenBank genome assembly
CUUUCUGAAUUUUAAUCAGAAUCUCCAUUCCUGUUAUCUUGAAGCCGUUGGUUCGGAUCCCACCCUCCAGAGCAGGAGAAAACAAGGAGCCCCACCAAUUUGCAGCUUGGAGGCACUGGAAGAGGAAGCUCUGUGAACCUCUCUACUCAUGACGUGAACCACCCUGGCAUCUUCAGAUCAAGGACACUGCACAAAUUUAAUAGCCAUAGAAAUAAUAAAGUACGUUACCUGCUUGUGUGGUAAGAAUUUGCUUCUACACCAGCAGUUUGUUACACAUGUAAGGGAACAUCUGAAAUAAAAACACGGAACCAAGAGAAGGAGAGCAAACUCAGAGUCCUGCAGGGACCCAGUUUAUUCAAACUAUUGCAAUAGGACAGCCUUGCUAUCCAGUUCUUCAGCAGAAGGGCUGGUUUGAAAAGGCUGCCAGGGGGCAUAUUAGAAGAAAGCGUAUAUACACAGCACACAAAGACUCAUAAAAUGCCACAACACUCUUCCACUUGCAUCAAGAAAGGUCACAGGUCAUGGGAUGCGUGGCUCAAUGUGGAUAUCGACUCCUCUGAAAAUACCUUGGCGUGUCCCACAGUGCCCAGGUCAUUUGGGUCUCAUAUGUCUCACUUUGACACCAUGCCCACGGCAACCAGGACUUCCAUGGGACUGUUGAUUUUCCUAUUCCCUAUCUUACUUUCCUGUUCCCAAAACAUGUCAAAGACCUUUGAGGAGAGAUGUGAGUUCUCAAACGGAUGCUAGCUCAACACAGACCUCUUUCCCAAAACAUCAUCUGCCCUUCUAGGGUCUGAAAAGGCUGGAAGCGGUAGGAAACUUACACAUGACAACUUUACAGGAGGGUGGAAUGAGGUUUACAAAAUGCAGGCAUACAAAAGUCAAGCCUAAUGCAUUCUAUCUAAAAGGCUGGAUGCAAUUAAUACUAGGACACUUUGAUCAAAAUCUAUAAUAUCUAAUAUUCAAUCAACUAUCACAUUUUUUUACACCAAGUCCUUCCUAGGAAAGAUCAGCAUGGACAGCAACCU